UGGGGAAUAUUGGACAAUGGGCGCAAGCCUGAUCCAGCCAUGCCGCGUGAGUGAUGAAGGCCCUAGGGUUGUAAAGCUCUCUCACCGGUGAAGAUAAUGACGGUAACCGGAGAAGAAGCCCCGGCUAACUUCGUGCCAGCAGCCGCGGUAAUACGAAGGGGGCUAGCGUUGUUCGGAUUUACUGGGCGUAAAGCGCACGUAGGCGGACUUUUAAGUCAGGGGUGAAAUCCCGGGGCUCAACCCCGGAACUGCCUUUGAUACUGGAAGUCUUGAGUAUGGUAGAGGUGAGUGGAAUUCCGAGUAUAGGGGUGAAAUUCGUAGAUAUUCGGAGGAACACCAGUGGCGAAGGCGGCUCACUGGACCAUUACUGACGCUGAGGUGCGAAAGCGUGGGGAGCAAACAGG
This 404-nucleotide ribosomal RNA is filed under the name Actinomycetes bacterium. RNAcentral describes it as "Actinobacteria bacterium partial 16S ribosomal RNA". It matches the Rfam family "Bacterial small subunit ribosomal RNA", at positions 355 to 776 of the family's 1533-position model. Lineage: Bacteria; Bacillati; Actinomycetota; Actinomycetes. The record is from RNAcentral.